Molecule: long non-coding RNA, 1114 nt
Organism: Bos indicus x Bos taurus (hybrid cattle)
Lineage: Eukaryota; Metazoa; Chordata; Mammalia; Artiodactyla; Bovidae
Source: Ensembl
CAGCAUGCCAGGCCUCCCUGUACUCCACUAUCUUCUGGAGUUUGCUCAAGUUCAUGUCCAAUGAGUCGGUGAUGCUAUCCAACCAUCUCAUCCUCUGCUGCCCUGUUCUUUUGCUUUUGAUCUUUCCCAGCAUCAGGGUCUUUUCUUUUCACAACAGGUGGCCAAAGUAUUGGAACUUCACCAUUAGUACUUCCAAUGAAUAUUCAGGUUGAUUCUUUAAUAAAAUGUUUCAAGUAACUAUUGAGGAGCAGCAAUUUAACCUUCGAGAAACUCUGGAGUCAGAUUUAGGAAAAAAGAGAUGAAAGUUCUCUAAAAGACCCAUAAUAUUUCCAUAACAUUAAGGCAAUAUAGACUGACAUUGCUUUAACAACGAAAUUCAAAGGGCAAAAGAUGCUCCAAGUGCUAAUGAGGAGGAGUGAUAUUGCAAGUUUUGUUAUCUGAAAAUAUCUUUUUACUUACUGGUAAAUAGUGGACAUUUUGAGCCUGUUUAGGUACAGACUUGGAAGUUAAUCUUCCUAUAAUGCAUCAGAUGUCUUUCCUUUGCCCCAGUAGGAACUUAAGCAUUGCUUGAUUGUUGCACUUUUUAUGUUCUAAUAUCAUUGCCAGCCUAAUAGUUCAUCUACUAUAGAGCCUUUGGUCAGUGUUGGCUCUCAGUAAAUGUCUGUUGGAAGAACUAGUUGAUGGAAUUAGUGGAGUGAAGAGCUUGGGAAUUUGGAAAUGAGCCAUGACUUUUCUAAUCAGAUUCUUUACUCAGUGUAGAGUUCUUUGAGCCUUGUUUCCAAUCAUCUAAUAGCUCAGGGAAUCCUAUCAAAUUUUUUUAAUCCUUCCAAGGAGCAUUUGGUUGGACUGCUGCUGCUGCUAAGUCGCUUCAGUUGUGUUCGACUCUGUGUGACCCCAUAGACAGCAGCCCUGUCUCUGGGUUUCUCCAGGCAAGAACACUUGCAUGAAAGUGAAAAGUGAAAGUGAAGUUGCUCAGUAUUGCCCGACUCUUAGCGACCCCAUGGACUGCAGCCCACCAGGCUCCUCCGUCCAUCGGAUUUUCCAGGCAAGAGUACUGGAGUGGGGUGCCAUCGCUGUCUCUAAGGUAUCUAUAAAUUACCGUGCCUUGCAUUGA